GUAUGUGGUGAGAGGAUCAUAAACGUCGACAGAGGCCAGUUUGUGUCUCCAGGAUACCCAUACAAAUACCCACCAAACCUUGACUGCCAGUGGCAAAUUCAGGCAAAUUCAUCUUUGUCUAGCGCAAUAUCUAUUGAAAUUCUGGAAUUUGGAACGCAGAGGUGGUAUGACUUUGUAAAAUUUGAAAGUCGAACUUUUUAUGAAGAUGUUCCUGGUCCGUUAUUACUGGACGGCGCAACGAAGGUUCGGGGCAUAAUUUUCAACUCAUCUGAGGUGAAUGUGUCAAUGAGAUCUGACUCAAUUGUCGAAUCUAUCGGGUUUCGAUUCUCGCUUCAAAGCUGGGCUGUUGGAGUUAGUCAAUUGUCAUGUGAGGUAUUUGACGGAGGGUUGUUUGACUGCGAAGACGGGUCUUGUGUGACUCCAUACGCUAGAUGCAACGGGUUCAAGGAUUGCCUCAGCGGAAAAGACGAACACGAUUGUGAAAACGUAUUUUGUCCGUCUGUGUGCAGAUGUACGUAUUCGAGAAGUCAGUGUUUUCAGGGCUGGAAUCUUCAAACCAUUCGUAGUUUCAACAGGACAAUCCUU
Long non-coding RNA from Acanthaster planci (crown-of-thorns starfish), 585 nucleotides. The record is from RefSeq and is a predicted model, not a curated record. NCBI's taxonomy places the organism in Eukaryota, Metazoa, Echinodermata, Asteroidea, Valvatida, Acanthasteridae.